UGGUGCUGCUGCUGGCCCUGCUGUGCGACGUGCUGGGGCUGGUCCUGCUCCUCCUGGGGCUGUUCGCUCCUCUCAGCUACUGGGACUUCUUCGUUUACUUGGGAGCGCUGCUGCUCGCCUUCAGUAUUCUCUUCUGGAUCUUCUGGUACACGUUCAACAUCGAGGUCCCCUACAGGGAGCUGGGUUUUAAUUGACCUUCAGCACUGAAAUGGGAGCUUACGCUUGGAGGAGCAAUCUCACCUCACCAGCUGGGAAGCUGCAAAGCAUCGUUCCAUUGGUGAAGAGCAUCCACAAAGACUGCGGUUCCCCGAGCAUCGCCUGCCCACAUGGACACCAGGGAAAGGGACUGAAGAGGACCGGACUGUGAAUGUAGGGAGCAAGCAGAUGGAGAGGAACAGCAGCAAACAAGGACUCCAUUAUGCCACUCUUCAACAAAAGGUCUUCUAUUGCAAACCUGCCACCAAAGACACAGAGCGAGAUGCACUGUACUGACCUGCUGAGCCUGCCCUGGGCACGAGUACUGCAGACACCCUUUGAAUGGUGCCUUCGUGUCCCCUCUGAGCACCCUCCUACCCACUGCCAUGAUCUCAGAGAGCCCAGCAGGAUCUGCCUGGCAGCAGCAGAACUGCUGCAAAGUGUCCUGGUGAGCACUUGCAGGAUCCAGGCGGCAGCAUGGACCAAUUCUCCCAGCCCCACUGAGGGUGUGAAGAGGCUGAGCAGGGCUCACAGCAUGUGGCACCAGCAGGACAUGCAGCCUGGGGACCUCACCUGUACUUUGAUGCACUCAAUGGGAGAGGGAGACAACAAAAUAUGGCAGGACAGGGGAUUUCCUAACAGAAGCCAGCUGGUGGCUGUAUGGAGGUCUUAGGUACAUUUUACCUGAUCUCACCAAGGUCUCAGGCACUUUCUAAUGGCACUUACUGAUGUACUCAGAAGGUCUGUUCAAAGAACUACUGAAGCUGAGGACAGAUAGAAAAAGAUGCAGUGUUUCAGCUGCCAAACUGGAGGCUCAGUGCAGAAACAAGCCUCCCUGCUAACUCCAAGUACAAAUCUCAGGUGGAAGGGGGUGAAGAGAUCCACGUCUUCCUCCUCCCGCAUUCCCAACACAGUGUUCAGCUUACCAUAAAGACAUCUGUGGGGUGGAACCACAUCUAACACCUACCAGAUAGGCUGUUCCACACUUUCCAUUGCAGGCAUCAGUUUCCAGUCGUUUAAAACUUUAUCCAGCUUCACUCCAUUGUGAUUUCCCAUCCUGGA
Molecule: long non-coding RNA, 1257 nt
Filed under: Gallus gallus (chicken)
Lineage: Eukaryota; Metazoa; Chordata; Aves; Galliformes; Phasianidae
Description: long non-coding RNA NONGGAT003224
Source: RNAcentral